RNAcentral lists this ribosomal RNA (253 nucleotides) under uncultured bacterium. RNAcentral describes it as "partial 16S ribosomal RNA". It matches the Rfam family "Bacterial small subunit ribosomal RNA", at positions 524 to 776 of the family's 1533-position model. The record is from RNAcentral.
UACGUAGGUGGCAAGCGUUGUCCGGAAUUACUGGGUGUAAAGCGCGUGUAGGCGGCAGGCCAAGUCUGCGGUGAAAGCGCCCGGCUCAACUGGGCGAGGUCCGUGGAAACUGGUCAGCUGGAGGACGGUAGAGGCGAGUGGAAUUCCCGGUGUAGUGGUGAAAUGCGUAGAGAUCGGGAGGAACACCUGUGGCGAAGGCGGCUCGCUGGGCCGGUACUGACGCUGAGACGCGAAAGCGUGGGGAGCGAACAGG